CCCAGGCGGCUCCGCAGCUCCUUCAGUGCCCCGAGCCCGCGCACAGCGACAGCGCCCAGCCCGCCACGGCCCCGACACACGGCUGCCAGCCUGCCUGCUGCGGGACACAGCCGCCACACACAGCCCGCCACGGCCCCGACACACGGCUGCCAGCCUGCCUGCUGCGGGACACAGCCGCCACAUACAGCCCGCCACGGCCCCGACACACGGCUGCCAGCCUGCCUGCUGCUGCUCUCACCCUGCUUUGCAAAGAAAAGAGGUGCUCCGGGAGAGCAUCUGUGCUGGGAGCUGACCAAGCAGCUGCCCUGACAGGCACGCAGGGUCUAAUUCAGGUCGUUCUGUCACCUCAGUAGGUCAUACCAUGAGAGGUGUUUGCAGGGAGGGUUCCCGAGGUCACAGAGAAAUCUCCAACUCUGUCCAUGCAGAAAUGUCUCUGUUCCACACUGCAAGGUGCCUCGAAAGCUGCACCCUUAAAAGGAUGAGAAAUGGAGGUGUACUUGGAAUCCCCCUGAGGCUGGAAUUCACUUCUCGACAUUUUCUUCUGAUCCACAGGUUUUCCCAAGCAUCCUACCAUGUGCAUUAAGCAUCUUCAUGAAAAGUUGCAAUAUCUGUAAGCGAAAAGAAUAAAUCUGAUGGAGUAGAGAAGCUUUUCAAAUCAGCUGAGGGCACAGACACAAAAACCUUGCUCUGAAUCUAUUUGCUUCAUUUUCCAUCACAGUAAUCACGUCUAGCUAUGCUGAAAUGCAGAGGCCUCUGGGAUCCGCAAGGAUGGUUGCAGGUUUUUGUCUCAGCACGAGUGCUCGGAAGAAUAUUCCUAUCCUUGAACAUGUAUUAACAACAUCUUUUCUAUGCUCUGAAGCCCGAGAAUGCAUAACCUUAGAAGGAGAUCAUAGAAGGAUGAGUUUUCAGCAGGACAAUCUGCGACAAUCUCAGGACCGUCCACUAGUUUAGAAAUCUACUUCUAAACCAUGGAGCGGUGCCACACCUGCAUGAGAAUGUUCCCAUUAAACCCAUUAUUACUACCUCCAUCAUUCUUCAUGUACUUCCAGAUGGUUUUCCAAGGCAAACCCGUUUUAGGCCAUGCCACAAAGACCACCAUGGGAUCACUCUAGAGUUAAUAUGGAAAAGAGGAUGGGAGUGAGGGACCUGGGAAAGAGGCAUUUAUUCCAGGCAGAUGAAGAAGGGCAGGGCAGAAGGGGCACAGACACACGAGUCCCCUGUUCCCAGAGGAAAUUGCAAUGAGCCCAGACAGCUGAGAAAGCUCAGUGGGGAAGAAGCCGCUGAGCUCGCCAAUGGGCAGCACGGGGUGUGCAGCAGAGCUGGCGAUUGCAGCUGCGGAGGUGAGGAGUGCAGUGCGAGCUGAGCGGGAAGAGCCCCUUGCCAUGGCUGAGGCCGCAGAGGCACGGAAUGCUCCGAAUGCCAGUGGCUGAGGGAGCCACGGCGGCUGCUGCUGGACGAGCGAGAAACGCAGCAGGAGCAUUUCAGGCACGGCAAGGACAGGCCAUUGCUCUGCCUGCUGCCGCUGCUGCUCCCGCUGCUCCCGCACACAGUCGUUUCCGGCACCUCUGUUCUCUCGCCGCUGCGACGUGCUUUCUGCCUCUUCCUCACUCAGCAAACACGCAGCUUGCUCUCGCCAUGCACCUCGCACAUCUCAUCCUCACCGUCUUCCUGGCACAGCUCCUCGGCACCUCGGGGCAGAUCACGGUCACCCAGGAAGAUGCACAAGUCACAGUGAAGCAGGGACACCCCUUCCACACCACCUGCAAAUACCACGCCAGUGGUUUUGAUGCCUUGCUCUGGUACCAGCUGCGGAAAGGCCAAGCCCCCCAGCUGGUCUCCUAUCAAUCAGGGACUGGCCCCAGGCACAGCGGCCGGAUCACCACGCACCUGAACACCACGGGCAAAUACAGUGUCCUGAAGGUGGAGGAAGUGCAGGUGUCUGACAGUGCCUUGUACCUGUGUGCUGUGCGAGACACCCUGGUGCAGGGAGCUUGCUCGGCUGUGCAACAACCCAGGGGAGGGAGGGGAUGUGUCAGUGCAAGGUUGAGAUUGAGGAAGUGACGCAGAUCUCACCCCAGUGCUCACCACAACUUGCACUCCGUGUAUGCACAAUGGUCUGAUGGUUUUCACUACGUCCAUCCUGACACUUCCCUUGGGAAAAUAUUCUGGACAAUUCUGACUAAUUUAUGUUUGUUUCGGUCUGUAACUGAAGAAAAAUAUGCCCUGUGCAUGGCUGGGACCUUGUCCUUCCACACUCCAGCCCUGCUGCUUUUGACCCCACAUGUUCUCACCAGAGCCCAGGGCUGCUUCUGUGUUCCUGCCCUGGGUGCUCUUGCAGCAGCCCCUUUUGCAUGGACACACGUGAAGCACAGAUUUGUGGAUGGCUCCACUCUGGUGUGCACGAGCCUGUGUCUGUGCGUGUGUCUGUGUCUGUGUCCCUCACAGGGAGGGAAUUCCCUGACUAUGCCAGGGACACCGGCAGCUAUUCGCUGGAAAUGUGUGCAUGGGCGAGGCGCUGAAAUGCAGCCCCUGUGUCCCGAGCCCUUCCUUUCCUGCCCCACCAAAGCUCACACUCUGCCGUGGCGGGGUGGAUGGAUGUGUUUGUGAUGCAGUGUGGGUGG
Catharus ustulatus (Swainson's thrush) is the source of this 2621-nucleotide non-coding RNA. NCBI's taxonomy places the organism in Eukaryota, Metazoa, Chordata, Aves, Passeriformes, Turdidae. The record is from the annotation of a RefSeq genome assembly.